GACGAACGCUGGCGGCGUGCUUAACACAUGCAAGUCGAACGGAAAGGCCCUGCUUUUGUGGGGUGCUCGAGUGGCGAACGGGUGAGUAACACGUGAGUAACCUGCCCUUGACUUUGGGAUAACUUCAGGAAACUGGGGCUAAUACCGGAUAGGAGCUCCUGCUGCAUGGUGGGGGUUGGAAAGUUUCGGCGGUUGGGGAUGGACUCGCGGCUUAUCAGCUUGUUGGUGGGGUAGUGGCUUACCAAGGCUUUGACGGGUAGCCGGCCUGAGAGGGUGACCGGCCACAUUGGGACUGAGAUACGGCCCAGACUCCUACGGGAGGCAGCAGGGGGGAAUACUGCACAAUGGGCGGAAGCCUGAUGCAGCAACGCCGCGUGCGGGAUGACGGCCUUCGGGUUGUAAACCGCUUUCGCCUGUGACGAAGCGUGAGUGACGGUAAUGGGUAAAGAAGCACCGGCUAACUACGUG
RNAcentral lists this ribosomal RNA (468 nucleotides) under uncultured bacterium. RNAcentral describes it as "partial 16S ribosomal RNA". It matches the Rfam family "Bacterial small subunit ribosomal RNA", at positions 28 to 507 of the family's 1533-position model. The record is from RNAcentral.